This 253-nucleotide ribosomal RNA is filed under the name uncultured prokaryote. RNAcentral's name for it is "partial 16S ribosomal RNA". It matches the Rfam family "Bacterial small subunit ribosomal RNA", at positions 524 to 776 of the family's 1533-position model. The record is from RNAcentral.
UACAGAGGUCUCAAGCGUUGUUCGGCGUCCUUGUUCUUCCCUUUUUCUUAGGCGGCGCGGUAAGUCGGGUGUGAAAUCUCGGGGCUUAACUCCGAAACUGCAUUCGAUACUGCCGUGCUUGAGGACUGGAGAGGAGACUGGAAUUUACGGUGUAGCGGUGAAAUGCGUAGAUAUCGUAAGGAACACCUGUGGCGAAAGCGGCUCACUGGACCAUAACUGACGCUGAGGCGCGAAAGCUAGGGGAGCAAACAGG